UUAAUGCAAAUUUGUAUAGUGUUGGAACGUUUGCCGCUAGGGGCGCUGUUCCAACUGCAUAUAAAUUGGAGUUA
Molecule: microRNA precursor, 74 nt
Filed under: Bombyx mori (domestic silkworm)
Lineage: Eukaryota; Metazoa; Arthropoda; Insecta; Lepidoptera; Bombycidae
Description: mir-2807 microRNA precursor family
Rfam family: mir-2807 microRNA precursor family
Source: Rfam by way of RNAcentral